Long non-coding RNA from Onychostoma macrolepis, 3599 nucleotides. RefSeq lists it as uncharacterized. The record is from RefSeq and is a predicted model, not a curated record. NCBI's taxonomy places the organism in Eukaryota, Metazoa, Chordata, Actinopteri, Cypriniformes, Cyprinidae. The transcript has 4 exons.
AUACGUUGCUUUCUGCAAUACCCCCUUUAAUGAAGAUUUGCUGCCUGGAAAAAAUAAAAUAAAAUAAAAAAACCCACAAACACACAUUUGGAAUUCAGGAUUACUAGAAACUUUCGGGCAGGUGUGUUAGAGCAGCCUUGAGCAAACCUCUGUAGGAUCUGACCCUACUCUAUAGGGGAUUUUUCCCUUUAAGUACUGUUCUCACACUGUAAAGGACAUGUUCCACCCCUUAUGGUGUAACAGAAGUGGCUGGGCACAGAUGAGAAGUAAGAGUAAGAUAAUUGUUUAUUGCACAAGAGUCAAUGGAGAAACAGGCAGGAGGAUGAACGGGGAUCCAGCAGAACAGGAGACACGUAGAAGGAGGAGCACACCUCAGUGUGCUUGAGACUGGGGAGAACUACGGAAGAACACACGAGGGAAUGUGUCCCGAGCACCACCAUGAGACUCUACCAUCCUGACACCAUUUGCCACCCAUCUGUCUGUUCCAGCCACACCCAGCCUGCAUGUUCAUUAUGCUGAUCCCUUGAUGCUAGCAAUCUUCUUUGACCUGCUCACUAGCCUUCUAAGCCAUAGAGAGCUACAGUAAUGUAAAGUAUAUUUGUAGGCCACCUGGUUGGUGUUAAAAAUCAACCUCAUUCCACCUCGUUCUCAAAAAAAAAAAAAAAAAAAUACAAAAAAAAAAAUAUAAAAUUUAAAAAAUAAAAUAAAAUAAAAUAAAAAUGAAUGAUGAAUAUUGAAGCCUAAUUACAGUUGUCAGAAGUACAAAAGCUAACUUUUUCAGUCUUUAUUAAAAAAACAUAAAAAAACAUAUAUAUUAAAAAAACAGUUUAAAACAUAUUAAAAACAGUUUGAGUUACAAUAGUUUGUGGUUGGGGAAAAAUUUACACAAAAGGAUUUGCCCAAACAACGUUUUGUCAGUUAAAAACUAUUGUAGACUUUUAAUGGAAAUAAUUGGUAUAUAAAUAUUUUGUGUGUGUUAUAUAAGCUUGUGCUUUUAAAAGAAAAUGACGAAUUCUGAGGUUCAUAAAAAAUUUGGGUUGGAGUGAAUUAGAAGCAGCUAAUAUUUGCAUAUUUAGGGUUGGCAACAUAUUUUGAGUUGUGGAUGGACGAGAAAACAAAUGUUAAUUCCCAAAUAUGUUUUCCUUUUUCAUUUGCCUUGAGCUCUCUAACCCCUAAUUCUUUAUGAUCCUCAGAAUUCCUUAUUUUCUUUAAAUAUAUAUAUAUAUAUAUACAUAUAUAUAUAUAUAUAUAUAUAUAUAUAUAAAUUAACAAAUUGCUGACCACAGAAAAAUAAUACUGAGAUACUUUAUGUAUUAUAAUAGGGCUAUAAAAAAUAUACAGUGUCCCCUCUGCCAUUAAAGACACUUAUAAAAACAUGCGGUUAAGAUUUAGUACUGAUUGCACACCAAACAGCCACAUAAUACAAACCUUUAAAAAAAAAAUAUUCUGAAUUGCAUGGAAUCAUAAUAAUAUUAACAGCCGUAGAAGAGCCCUAGAAAUGUGCUCACUUCAUUGUCUACUUGAGGGGUUAUGGAAGUGGUGGGUGAUUCUUGGCUUCCUUUGUGUUAAUUGCCAUGAGCAGGCUGUGUUUCCCGCAGGAUCUGUGGGUGUGGGUGCUAGUCAGCGUGGGUUAGGUAGUUAUAAAUAGUGCCACCAGAUUAGCCGAGCAUCUGAGAAGCAGACAGGAGAUCGGAAAAUCCAGUAUCCAGUGCCAGUUUGGCUCAGCCUUAUGGGUGCGACCUGGGAUCCCCCUGUCCACAGUCCACAAAAAUCACCUCAAACUACAAUACGUCACAGUCAUGUUACCAGGAUAUCUCAUCCACUUUACUGAAGGACAUAAGCAACUGUACACUUUCAGAAAAAAAAGGAACAAAAGAUGUCACUGGGGUGGUACCCUUUCAAAAGUUACUAAUAUGAAUCAUUUAGAUACUAAUACAGACACUUUAGGUAAAAAUAUGUACUUUUAAGGUACCAGUACGUACCCUUUAGGGGUAAAUAAGGUACAAAGGUGUUUUGUACCUUUAUUUCUGACUGUAUAAGACAAAUGCAGGCAGCACUUUUCAUCUUUGCAUAAUCUCAUCACAGCAAUAAUAAUCUGAUUUCCUUUAUUGCAAAGGUCAGUGCACCUCUAAUCACAAUUUAAUACACAUAAUUAACUAUUUAAUUCUAUAAAAGCAAAUAUGUGAGGUGUGUGUUUAGCAUGGAAAAUGGAGAAUUAUCAAAGUGAUGUGCACUCUUCUCUAUGGCAAUGCAAAAACCUUUAGAUAUUGCACACUUUUACAUUUUUCUAUGUUUGGAUAGACACUGAAAUGUACAGUAUUAACAACAACAAAAAUCAAUAAAUCAAUAAUAAUAAUAAUCAGUCCCACUAUAGUGGCCUUAACUACUAUGUACUUAAAUCAAAAAAUAAGUACAAUGUACUUAUUGUGUCCAUAUUGUAUUGCAAAACACUUCUGCUGCUAUUGAGGUGGGAUUCGGGUAAGGUUAAAGUGACAGGUUUGGUUUAAGGUUUAAGGGUUUUAAGGGUUGUGUGGGUUAAGGUGAAAGGGAUGGGUCAACUGUGUAACUAUAAAUGUAAUUACAGAUGUAAUUACAUGCAAGUAUUUUUAAAAUAUAAGUACAAUCUAAAAACAUGUACAUUAUGUACACAAUAAGUGCAUUGUAUCAAAUGAUUAAUUUAAGGCCACUUAAUAUAAAGUGAGACCAAAUAAUCUGUAAUGUAUAAAUAAUCUUUAUAAAUAUCUUUAGGAAACUUUAAAGAAUAAGCAAUUCAGCAUAAUACUGAAUUAAUGAAAUUUAACAAAGUUAACACAUUUACCUACUUUGACAUUAUAAUGGUUUCAUUAUGUUCUUUGAUUUAUUUAUUUAUUGUUACUUUGAUAUUUUGUAGUCUUUGAUGAAUUUUCAAAGUUCAUCUAUACGUUUUGGGUAAAUUGUAAGAAUGGUAAGAAUGGCUGUAUUAAACAAUUUACACAGAAAUUUGUUUUUUUGAGCUAACCUUUAAGAAUCAUUUAAAAAGAUCAUUCUCAGAUGAGGUUUGAUAAAGAGAUUGUGUCUGAGUUCUGAGCUUGCUUACAUUCAGUAGUAACCUAGCUUUUGGUGAUUUCAGUUCUGAAGAUUCAUAAAGAUUUAUACAUAUCAAAAGUGUUUACAUUUUAGAUCCUGUUAGAAUGCUGAUACUGCUUCUAUUGAAAAAUACAAAACUGCAUGUGUACAUUUUACAUUUGAACACCAACUAAUAUAAACAAGGUCCCCCUGUCCAUGUAGACAUUGUCAGCUCUCAUUUUAAAGUCAGCCAUCCCAUAAAUAAAUUAAGCUCAGACACUUUAAAGGCCGCAUUCAGGCUGUAUGCCAUGCCCCAGUCACGCUAUGCAGAGUAAUAACCCACACACAUAUGCAGGCUUGGCACACUGGGCACACUUGGAGAAAUACUACUAAGCGACCAGUUGCUAAGGAGACCCAUGAGAAAGGGAGGGUUCUUGUUGCCAUAGCAGCCUUUUUUCCUCCUAACCAGUUUCUCAUCCCUGUGGAAGUGACAUGGGUGAGUUUAGGGGGGAGGGGCUGGGAUUCACUCAUGCAUGAUCGGAGAAAGCAAAAGA